This 571-nucleotide ribosomal RNA is filed under the name uncultured bacterium. RNAcentral describes it as "partial 16S ribosomal RNA". It matches the Rfam family "Bacterial small subunit ribosomal RNA", at positions 355 to 920 of the family's 1533-position model. The record is from RNAcentral.
UGGGGAAUUUUGGACAAUGGGCGAAAGCCUGAUCCAGCAAUGCCGCGUGUGUGAAGAAGGCCUUCGGGUUGUAAAGCACUUUUGUCCGGAAAGAAAUCCUUGGCUCUAAUACAGUCGGGGGAUGACGGUACCGGAAGAAUAAGCACCGGCUAACUACGUGCCAGCAGCCGCGGUAAUACGUAGGGUGCAAGCGUUAAUCGGAAUUACUGGGCGUAAAGCGUGCGCAGGCGGUUUGCUAAGACCGAUGUGAAAUCCCCGGGCUCAACCUGGGAACUGCAUUGGUGACUGGCAGGCUAGAGUAUGGCAGAGGGGGGUAGAAUUCCACGUGUAGCAGUGAAAUGCGUAGAGAUGUGGAGGAAUACCGAUGGCGAAGGCAGCCCCCUGGGCCAAUACUGACGCUCAUGCACGAAAGCGUGGGGAGCAAACAGGAUUAGAUACCCUGGUAGUCCACGCCCCAAACGAUGUCAACUAGUUGUUGGGGAUUCAUUUCCUUAGUAACGUGCUAACGCGUGAAGUUGACCGCCUGGGGAGUACGGUCGCAAGAUUAAAACUUAAAUGAAUUGACGGGGUC